AUUAAGGGGUGAGGCAUGUCAUUACCUAGGUGUUAUUAUUAAGGGGAGAGGUGUGUCAUUACCUAGGUGUUAUUAUUAAGGGGAGAGGUGUGUCAUUACCUAGGUGGUGUUAUUAAGGGGAAAGGUGUGUCAUUAUCUAGGUGUUGUUAUUAAGGGGAGAGGUGUGUCAUUAUUUAGGUGGUGUUAUAAUGAAGGUGAGAGGUGUGUCAUUACCUAGGUGUUAUUAUUAAGGGGAGAGGUGUGUCAUUACCUAGGUGGUGUUAUUAAGGGGAGAGGUGUGUCAUUACCUAGGUGUUAUUAUUAAGGGGUGAGGCAUGUCAUUACCUAGGUGUUAUUAUUAAGGGGAGAGGUGUUAUUAUUAAGGGGAGAGGUGUGUCAUUAUCUAGGUGUUGAUAUUAAGGGGAGAGGUGUGUCAUUAUUUAGGUGGUGUUAUAAUGAAGGGGAGAGGUGUGUCAUUACCUAGGUGUUAUUAUUAAGGGGAGAGGUGUGUCAUUACCUAGGUGGUGUUAUUAAGGGGAGAGGUGUGUCAUUAUCUAGGUGGUGUUAUGAAGGGGUGCGGUGUGUCAUUAUCUAGGUGGUGUUAUGAAGGGGAGAGGUGUGUCAUUAUCUAGGUGGUGUUAUGAAGGGGAGAGGUGUGUCAUUAUCUAGGUGGUGUUAUGAAGGGGAGAGGUGUGUCAUUAUCUAGGUGGUGUUAUGAAGGGGAGAUGUGUGUCAUUAUCUAGGUGGUGUUAAAAUUGGGAGAGGUGUGUCAUUACCUAGGUGGUGUUAUGAAGGGGAGAGGUGUGUCAUUAUCUAGGUGGUGUUAUGAAUGGGAGAGGUGUGUCAUUAUCUAGGUGGUGUUAUGAAGGGGAGAGGUGUGUCAUUAUCUAGGUGGUGUUAUGAAGGGAAGAG
Molecule: long non-coding RNA, 891 nt
Organism: Esox lucius (northern pike)
Lineage: Eukaryota; Metazoa; Chordata; Actinopteri; Esociformes; Esocidae
Source: Ensembl